GGUCCUGUAGCUCAGUGGUUAGAGCGAUGGUCUUAUGAGCCAUAGGCCGUGGCUUCGACCCCCGCCGGGACUA
Molecule: transfer RNA, 73 nt
Filed under: Perkinsus olseni
Lineage: Eukaryota; Perkinsozoa; Perkinsida; Perkinsidae
Rfam family: tRNA
About the family: Transfer RNA (tRNA) molecules are approximately 80 nucleotides in length. Their secondary structure includes four short double-helical elements and three loops (D, anti-codon, and T loops).
Source: Rfam by way of RNAcentral